GUCUACAGUCACACCACCCCGAACACGCCUGAUCUCAUCUGAUCUUGGAAUCUAAGCAGGGUUGGGCCUGGCUAGUACUUGGAUGGGAGACUGCCUGGGAAUACUGGGUGCCGCAGGCU
This 119-nucleotide ribosomal RNA is filed under the name Prolemur simus (greater bamboo lemur). The record is from RNAcentral. Lineage: Eukaryota; Metazoa; Chordata; Mammalia; Primates; Lemuridae.